Molecule: long non-coding RNA, 655 nt
Organism: Ficedula albicollis (Collared flycatcher)
Lineage: Eukaryota; Metazoa; Chordata; Aves; Passeriformes; Muscicapidae
Exons: 4
Source: RefSeq, a predicted model, not a curated record
CUUUUUGGACAUCAUGCCUCUUUGAGAGUUAAAACUCUUGCUUUCAAGUAAUAGUGACUGGGAAGUGCUUUCAGAAUCCUGAGGUACUUCUGUUUCCUGUAACCCCAUCAGCCUGAAGAAAGGUGAAGUGGGUGAAUAUCAGACAGCUCAUUAUAGAGACAUGCAUGCUGCAUUCCCAAAGUAAGAUGACAGAACAAGUCAUGAUCAGUCAUUUACAGCAACGAAGGUAGACAGACAAAAAAAUAAAUUGCAUCAGUGCUUUCUGGAAAAUACGCACUGCCUUGCAGUAUUUGAAAAAAGAAUGGGGGAAAGACAAAAGAAAAUUAAGCUAAAUGUGAAGAGGAAAAGGUGCAACUGUAACUGGAGACAUCAAACUAUACAGAACUCUCUGUGACUCCACAAAUGUGGAUAAGAGUCAUGGAUGUUAAAGGAGACAUUAAUCAGGCUGUUGUGAAAGAUCUGAUACCAGCUUUGGUCAAGGGGGACGAGUGUCAUCCUGAGAGUGCUCCUCUCUGGGACAGGAAACCGGCGGAGCGAAGCCCCGAGAGCACGCCGCGACGCUUCAUAUUCAAUCCACAGCCCUAUAAAGAGAUGAAAAAUGAGCCUUGUCCAAAGCUCUUACCUCAGCACCCAGUGGCAAAAAUAAAAUGUGAGC